This is a long non-coding RNA of Ornithodoros turicata, 469 nucleotides long. RefSeq lists it as uncharacterized. The transcript is spliced from 4 exons. The record is from RefSeq and is a predicted model, not a curated record. Lineage: Eukaryota; Metazoa; Arthropoda; Arachnida; Ixodida; Argasidae.
UACGUCUUCAGUGACCGCCGGCAUGUCUCGUAAGUAUUCUUCCUUACGUACUAGUGUCGCCUUUUCGGGUCACUAUGACUUGUUAGCAUAAGAGAAAAUCACUUAUGUAUAUAGCACGAGAAGUAUGAUAUAUCGAAUAAUAUAUUUGGGAAGCUUUUUCGAAAAAAUGACUGAAAGAGGGUUCCACUUUCUAGGAAAGACAUAUCUUUGAGGUCUGUGACUUGCUCGGAGUUGCUGUGCUUCAUGCAUCCAUGUAGUCCUCUAUGAGAGUAUCCCUCCGGUCCAAAUAGUCAUGUCCAUGAUUUUGAGUUGCUGUGCAGCUGUGCUUCAGACAUCCAUGCAGUCCCCUAAGGGAUCGCCAUCCAGGUCCAUUUUUCGUCAAAUUGUUGCGCCCAUGCUUCGAGUGUGUGUGCAUCAGGCAACCAUGUAGUCUUCCACGGGAUCACCCCCAUGUCCAUUCAAAAUGUCG